Molecule: ribosomal RNA, 465 nt
Filed under: uncultured bacterium
Lineage: Bacteria
Description: partial 16S ribosomal RNA
Rfam family: Bacterial small subunit ribosomal RNA
Source: RNAcentral
GACGAACGCUGGCGGCGUGCUUAACACAUGCAAGUCGAACGGAAAGGCCCUGCUUGCAGGGUACUCGAGUGGCGAACGGGUGAGUAACACGUGGGUGAUCUGCCCUGCACUUCGUGAUAAGCCUGGGAAACUGGGUCUAAUACCGGAUAGGAGCCAUUUUUAGUGUGAUGGUUGGAAAGUUUUUUCGGUGUAGGAUGGGCUCGCGGCCUAUCAGCUUGUUGGUGGGGUAAUGGCCUACCAAGGCGGCGACGGGUAGCCGGCCUGAGAGGGUGGACGGCCACAUUGGGACUGAGAUACGGCCCAGACUCCUACGGGAGGCAGCAGUGGGGAAUAUUGCACAAUGGGCGCAAGCCUGAUGCAGCGACGCCGCGUGGGGGAUGACGGCCUUCGGGUUGUAAACUCCUUUCGCUAGGGACGAAGCUUUUUGUGACGGUACCUAGAUAAGAAGCACCGGCUAACUACGUG